UAAUACGGAGGGGGCGAGCGUUAUUCGGAAUUAUUGGGCGUAAAGGGCGCGUAGGCGGCUUGCUAAGUCAAAGGUGAAAUCCCUCGGCUCAACUGAGGAACUGCCUUUGAAACUAGCGAGCUUGAGGCCGGGAGGGGGUAGCGGAAUUCCCAGUGUAGCGGUGAAAUGCGUAGAUACUGGGAGGAACACCAGUGGCGAAGGCGGCUACCUGGACCGGUACUGACGCUGAGGCGCGAAAGCGUGGGUAGCAAACAG
Molecule: ribosomal RNA, 255 nt
Filed under: uncultured prokaryote
Description: partial 16S ribosomal RNA
Rfam family: Bacterial small subunit ribosomal RNA
Source: RNAcentral